This 990-nucleotide long non-coding RNA is filed under the name Olea europaea subsp. europaea. The record is from RNAcentral. Lineage: Eukaryota; Viridiplantae; Streptophyta; Magnoliopsida; Lamiales; Oleaceae.
GGACACUGGGUAUCAACACGUGGAUAUUUUGUUUCGUAAUACACUUAUCAGCUUAGUAAACCUUAUUACAUAUUCAUCUGGUCAGCUAUGUAUUUAUAAGCAGGAAGAACUAUAGAUCAGUGCAUGCUUAAGAGUUCAAUAUGAUGUUAGGAGUACCAAAGGGAAAACUAUAAGGACAUUUAGAUCGCCUUAGAAAUAGAAUAAGCCUUUGUUUGAGUCAAAAUAUUUGGCCAAAAAAUGAAAAAUUGUACCAUUAUCAAUCAUUUUCAGCUGCAAUGGUUGACUUCUUCUUUCAUGUGUGAGACCUGGCUGAGACUACAACGGUCACAUUUUUCAUUUUAGUGGAAUGAAAAAUAUGGCUCAAACAUGGGCUAAAUUCCACUCAUUUAAAAGUUCAGAACUCUCACGGCUUCUCUAUUAAGUGCAAGUUCAGAGAGAUUUCAAAUUCAAUAUAUCAAAGUAUUUCUCGCCAAAAUAUUGAUGGGAAGCCACACAACUUUGGCUCUCUAUUUAGAAUUUUUGAAUUCACUUCACAGAAAGAAAAAAAAUAUUACUGGUGAUUCCAUGUGUUAGUAGUGCAGUUACUGUUUUUAGUAGUUUAGUUAUUGGUAAUUGCUUAGUCCCAGAAAUGAAAGAAUGACGGAAUCUAAAACCAAAUAUUUCUUGUGUUUCCAACAGAUAUUGCAACCAGGAGCGGAUUUAGGUGGUGGACAGAUAGGGCGGUCGCCCUAGUUGGAUUCGCCGAGGAGAAUUUUUUUUGCUGAUAAUAGAUAGACUUUUUCGAUUAUAUAUUUGAUAAUUCAUAUUAUCAAUAAACAUCUUUGGUAAUUCAGGUGGUUAGCUCUUCUAUUAUUAAAUUGGAGGUUUUGUGUUCUAAACUCUUCAUGUGUAAUAUUUAUUGUAAUUUUGUAUUUUAACAAUUUUUACCAAAAAAAUGCAAGGAAUGUGAUUCGAACAUGCUACCUUCCUUAAACAUAUUGAUCAUUUUAC